ACAGAGGGUGCAAGCGUUGUUCGGAAUCAUUGGGCGUAAAGGGCGUGUAGGCGGUGGAGUGUGUCCUGUGUGAAAGCCCUCGGCUUAACCGGGGAAAGGCAUGGGAAACUACUUUACUGGAGUGCGAGAGGGGAUAGCGGAAUUCCUAGUGUAGAGGUGAAAUUCGUAGAUACUAGGAGGAACACCAGCGGCGAAGGCGGCUGUCUGGCUCGUAACUGACGCUGAUACGCGAAAGCGUAGGUAGCAAACAGGA
Molecule: ribosomal RNA, 253 nt
Filed under: uncultured prokaryote
Description: partial 16S ribosomal RNA
Rfam family: Bacterial small subunit ribosomal RNA
Source: RNAcentral